Molecule: ribosomal RNA, 467 nt
Filed under: uncultured bacterium
Lineage: Bacteria
Description: partial 16S ribosomal RNA
Rfam family: Bacterial small subunit ribosomal RNA
Source: RNAcentral
GACGAACGCUGGCGGCGUGCUUAACACAUGCAAGUCGAACGGAAAGGCCCGGCUUUUGUGGGGUGCUCGAGUGGCGAACGGGUGAGUAACACGUGAGUAACCUGCCCUUGACUUUGGGAUAACUUCAGGAAACUGGGGCUAAUACCGGAUAGGAGCUCCUGCUGCAUGGUGGGGGUUGGAAAGUUUCGGCGGUUGGGGAUGGACUCGCGGCUUAUCAGCUUGUUGGUGGGGUAGUGGCUUACCAAGGCUUUGACGGGUAGCCGGCCUGAGAGGGUGACCGGCCACAUUGGGACUGAGAUACGGCCCAGACUCCUACGGGAGGCAGCAGUGGGGAAUAUUGCACAAUGGGCGGAAGCCUGAUGCAGCAACGCCGCGUGCGGGAUGACGGCCUUCGGGUUGUAAACCGCUUUCGCCUGUGACGAAGCGUGAGUGACGGUAAUGGGUAAAGAAGCACCGGCUAACUACGU